AUCCAGAUGACGAAUCCCAAAUGGGACGAAGCACGCGUCAAACCGGAU
Non-coding RNA from Schistosoma curassoni, 48 nucleotides. Lineage: Eukaryota; Metazoa; Platyhelminthes; Trematoda; Strigeidida; Schistosomatidae. The record is from Rfam.